UGGGGUUAAAAUUUCGUGGUUUUGUAUCCAAAAGUAAGUUCGUGGGGAUUAAUUUUCGUGGUUUUUAAGUUUAGAAAAAAAUUAUACAAAUGUCACUUUAUAAUUGACAAUACUCAAUAAAACUGAUGUGAACUUUUGCCGUUGGGGAAAAUCAAUAAUUGCAUUUCAUAGUAACAGUGAGCACUAAUCAAGUGUUGUAACCUGCACACGCUAAUUGGCUGUUACACACCUUUGAUGUUUUAUUCAAGG
RNAcentral lists this long non-coding RNA (249 nucleotides) under Mytilus galloprovincialis (Mediterranean mussel). The record is from RNAcentral. Lineage: Eukaryota; Metazoa; Mollusca; Bivalvia; Mytilida; Mytilidae.